CCAGAAGUCAUUCCCUAUGACCAGUGGACUCAACAGAAACCAGAAACAAAGCCUAUGUUUUCUGGUUGGCUUAAGGGUGCAUUUGGAGGUGGAAAGAAAGAGAUGCAAGAAUCUAUACAGCAGAACCUCAAUUUUAUUCUCAGUACUGCUCCAAUUUGGGAUAGGGUGGAGCUCAAAGGUAAUAAAUAUGUACUUGGAGAAUUUCUG
Humulus lupulus (European hop) is the source of this 207-nucleotide long non-coding RNA. RefSeq lists it as uncharacterized. NCBI's taxonomy places the organism in Eukaryota, Viridiplantae, Streptophyta, Magnoliopsida, Rosales, Cannabaceae. The record is from RefSeq and is a predicted model, not a curated record. The transcript has 2 exons.